This 409-nucleotide ribosomal RNA is filed under the name uncultured bacterium. RNAcentral describes it as "bacterial SSU rRNA". It matches the Rfam family "Bacterial small subunit ribosomal RNA", at positions 509 to 916 of the family's 1533-position model. The record is from RNAcentral.
CAGCAGCCGCGGUAAUACGUAGGAUCCGAGCGUUAUCCGAAUUCACUGGGCGUAAAGCGCUUGCAGGCGGCGAGGUAAGUUGGAUGUAAAAUCUUCUGGCUCAACUGGGAGAUGCCGUUCAAGACUGCCUGGCUAGAGGGCGAUAGAGGGAGGUGGAAUUCCCGGUGUAGUGGUGAAAUGCGUAGAUAUCGGGAGGAACACCAGAGGCGAAAGCGGCCUCCUGGAUCGCAACUGACGCUGAGAAGCAAAAGCUAGGGGAGCAAACGGGAUUAGAAACCCCGGUAGUCCUAGCUGUAAACGAUGUAGACUGGGUGUUGGUGGAGUAAAAUCUAUCAGUACCGUAGCAAACGCGCUAAGUCUACCGCCUGGGGACUACGGCCGCAAGGUUAAAACUUAAAGGAAUUGACGG